AGCCUUUAGCUAAACAAGUAUUAAAGGUCCUGCCUGCCCAGUGAUUUUUUUAAACGGCCGCGGUAUUCUAACCGUGCAAAGGUAGCGCAAUCACUUGUCUUUUAAAUAAAGACCUGUAUGAACGGCUAAAUGAGGAUAAGCCUGUCUCUUAUAACCAAUCAGUGAAACUGAUCUUCCAGUACAAAAGCUGGAAUAACCACAUAAGACGAGAAGACCCUGUGGAGCUUAAAACUAAACCACUAAACAGACACACGACUACCUUAGUGUGCGUUUUCAGUUGGGGCGACUUCGGAACAAAAACCAACUUCCGAGCACAGAACCACAACCUCUAACUAAGGCCAACAAGCCAAAGCACCCACACAGACCCGGCCUUGCCGAUCAACGAACCAAGUUACCCCAGGGAUAACAGCGCAAUCUUCUUCGAGAGCCCCUAUCAACAAGAAGGUUUACGACCUCGAUGUUGGAUCAGGACACCCAAAUGGUGCAGCCGCUAUUAAAGGUUCGUUUGUUCAACGAUUAACAGUCCUACGUGAUCUGAGU
This 540-nucleotide ribosomal RNA is filed under the name Spondylurus lineolatus. RNAcentral's name for it is "partial 16S ribosomal RNA". It matches the Rfam family "Bacterial large subunit ribosomal RNA", at positions 1817 to 2610 of the family's 2925-position model. Lineage: Eukaryota; Metazoa; Chordata; Lepidosauria; Squamata; Scincidae. The record is from RNAcentral.